Helianthus annuus (common sunflower) is the source of this 453-nucleotide long non-coding RNA. RefSeq lists it as uncharacterized. The transcript has 3 exons. Lineage: Eukaryota; Viridiplantae; Streptophyta; Magnoliopsida; Asterales; Asteraceae. The record is from RefSeq and is a predicted model, not a curated record.
CGUACAGAAGAAAGGGGCGACCAAGGAGUGUCCUCCAAACCCUAGAUUUCACAUAAAACUCACAAAUUGAAGCCCUUAAUCUGCUCUAAAUUGAGUUUCAAACACGGAUUAGUGAUCACCUUGUUGCGGGGAUCAAAAGUUUGACGCUUGACAAGCUAGGUGGGAGCUUGCGUAUGAAGCGGGUCAAACGAAUCAAGAACGGAAGGAAAAGCAUGCCAUGGAUGCGAGGUACUUUUGGAUGCCGGAAGACGAUCAAGCUCAACGAGGAACCGAACACGAUAAAGAUACACGCUUCCGCACUUUGCAUCGUCAUUAAUUUUAAACGACGAAUCUGAUCACGUUAUGUCAAAUGACUUUUGAUUUGUAAAAGUUUUAAUAAACCCGUAUUUCCGACGUAUAUGUAAUCUAAAUUACAUGGUUGUUUUUCGUAUAUUUUACGUUAAAACUUGAUUU